RNAcentral lists this ribosomal RNA (495 nucleotides) under uncultured bacterium. RNAcentral describes it as "partial 16S ribosomal RNA". It matches the Rfam family "Bacterial small subunit ribosomal RNA", at positions 28 to 507 of the family's 1533-position model. The record is from RNAcentral.
GACGAACGCUGGCGGCGUGCCUAAUACAUGCAAGUAGAGCGCUGAAGGAGGAGCUUGCUUCUCUGGAUGAGUUGCGAACGGGUGAGUAACGCGUAGGUAACCUGCCUCGUAGCGGGGGAUAACUAUUGGAAACGAUAGCUAAUACCGCAUAAGAGUAGAUGUUGCAUGACAUUUGCUUAAAAGGUGCAAUUGCAUCACUACCAGAUGGACCUGCGUUGUAUUUGCUAGUUGGUGGGGUAACGGCUCACCAAGGCGACGAUACAUAGCCGGCCUGAGAGGGGGAUCGGCCAACAUGGGAAUGGGACAAGGCCCAGAACCCUACGGGAGGCAGCAGUAGGGGAUCCUCGGCAAUGGACGGAAGGCUGACCGAGCAACGCCGCGUGAGUGAAGAAGGUUCUCGGGUCGGAAAGCUCUGUUGUAAGAGAAGAACGAGUGUGAGAGUGGAAAGUUCACACUGUGACGGUAUCUUACCAGAAAGGGACGGCUAACUACGUG